RNAcentral lists this long non-coding RNA (627 nucleotides) under Homo sapiens (human). RNAcentral describes it as "HSALNT0295442". Lineage: Eukaryota; Metazoa; Chordata; Mammalia; Primates; Hominidae. The record is from RNAcentral.
UUUACUCGACUCUGGACCUAUCAUCUGAGGUGAACACAUGACUGCUUAGUCUGUGAGGAAUGGAGGAACGCAGGAACUUAGCAAGGGAGGCAAGUGGUUAUACAGGGGGAAAAGCAGCCAUCUGAGAUAAUUUAUUGAGUAUACUUAUGUGCCAGGCUCUGGACCAGAGACUCUGGGUGAUACAACCCUGAAAGGUUUUCUAUCUGGGGAGGGACAUGGCAGAAGCAGUAUUUUGGGAAGAUAUUUCUGGCAGCAGUAUGUACAGUCUAGACUGAAGAGGAGAAGGUGAAGCCAGGGAAGACUAACAACGAGUCCAGAGAUGGAGAGGAACAAACCUGACUGGGGUGGUGGCACAAAGGAGAGCAUGUCCUGUUCAUCCUUCCCUCCACAAAGCAGCUGGACAAGACCCAACCAGUGAUGGGAUCUCUGUAGCAUCAUUUUCCAAAGGAAGCUGGCACAUGACAAGUGCUGCCUCCAUUUCAAAAUCCAUUCAUGUACCGACAUUCGCCUACCCUCUCGGCCUUGAUCCCACUCUCCUGAGGUGCCUGAGGGAUCUUGCCACUGUGCGCAUGGCACUAAGGAACUCUGCCUGCCAGUCCCAGAACUGCUCUUGUCUCACUCUGUUAC